UUGUUAACCUGAUUGGGUAUUUACCACCCCAACUAUAAUCAUGGUGAUAGUUGGGGUGGUAAAAUUAUUAUGUUUUUGGGAGAAGAGUAGAAACAAAAUUAACGCUAUGUUUGGAGUUCCAUAAAAACAAAGAGUUUCUCGUCCUAUCAUACCAGUAUAAAAUUGUGCAUGGACAUACUUUCAGACAUAGUACAUAAAUUAUUAUUAUGUUUAAGACCCCUAAGAGAAAAACUUGCCGGAUUUUUUUGAGUUUAAUUUUGAAUAUUACAUGUGUUCUUUGUGUCUUUCUAUUAUUUUGAAACAAUGCACAAUAACAAAUUCAGAAGUACCUGCAAAUGAGUUCGCAUACCUACAAACCUACAACUUAUAUUGUUCCUGUGUCCGACUUGCAUGUAAAAUUUGAUUAUUUUAAUCAAGGUCAAACAAAUACAAUGAAUGCGCGUACUGUUAGCAUGUUAGUAGCUGAUAAUUAACUGAUACGAGUUUGCUUGUUUCAGCAGUUGAAAUGACUAAUAGUCAUUUAAUUCUCUAACUUAGUAUAUUUUGUGUCUGUAGUUAUUUAAUAUCUUAUAUUCUCAUAAAAUUUCUAUGGAUCCCAAAUCAGUAGAAAUAAUAUCUUCUUUAUUAUGAUAGGUAUUUCCAUGGAUAAAAGAAAGAGACUGGAUUGGCCUUGUGGGCGGGCCACGCGUGCCGAGGGUGCGAGCCGGUGUACUGCGCGCUGUCAUAACGCUCAAAUGUCCAUACUUACCGGCUAGCAAUCGCUGUCAUGUUUUGACAGCGUACGUAUCUCUGCAAAAAUAUUAUAUUAUGCCGUCUUGCGCUAUUAUAACGUGUCGGAAAAGAAACCAGGUGUGUAGCAUAGCACGAGAAGGAAUUUCUUUUCACCGGUUUCCAACAGAUCCAGGUGUAACAAAAUUGUGGAUUGACACAACUGGUAGAAUUAAUUUUUUUUUUCAAGUUCCACCACACAGAUUAGAAACUGCGUAUAUUUUUAUCUCCACCAUAUUUAUACAGACAUUGGUCUUAAAAACUAAGCUUAUAUAAUAAUUAAUAGUAUAAUAAAUUAUGUAGCAAGUUACACGACCAGGUUUAAAACAAUUGAAAUGACAAGUGGUGGGAUUCAGGAACCCAAACUAGGAAAACCUGUACUAUGGGCUCCUGGAUUCCUACUAAAUGUAGCAUAUUUCGUUCGCAACAUUUCGAUGUUGAUAAUUACAUAAUAACAAAGUCAGGGAAAAGAAACUUAAAAUUAGGCGUUUAUCCGCACAAUAUCGCAAUGUGUAAUUCAGUAAGUAAACUGAUUUUAUUUUAGAAAAUUUUAAAUUAGUCUCUUUAAAUCAGUUUUUUUGUCUAAAAAUGGCGAUAUUUAAAAUAUCAUCUUUCGUAAAUUUAAAAAAUGAAAUAAUAUAACCAUGUUAUUUCAAUGUGUUCUGUACUUUAUACAGAUUAUUGUAAAUGUGAGAGCCCUGUAAUUAGCUAAAUUAGACUAGUAGAAUGCAUUUGUGUCAGCUUAGAGUUGUCAUGCUCACUCAAAGGUCUCACUGGCGGUGGCACGGGCAUUGGAUCGUUCGAUUCCCUGCAACAUGGUUGAGUUGGACGGUGCUGGUGUACGUGUCAUGUUGGUGAACGAGCGCUGUCAACUGGGACUGGUCAGCUCCAGACUGUAUUAAUUUUGUUGUUCUUAAGGUUUUUUCUAUCGCUUUGACUGAAUAUUAGUUUUACAUUGUUCUCACAUAGUUCAAGCAAUCGAUGCAAAGAAAAGCAAUGUUAUCAAGAAUUGUAUUGUGAAUCUAAUUGAAAAAGAUCGAACGAACAGAUCUUCGAUCUUCUCCAUAGGAAUCUACACUUUGGAACGAGCAAAUAGCUUCACUAGAGGGCUGACCGACAGACAGACGUUAUUAAUAUUAUUAUAUUUGCUUUGACGUUCAAAAGUGCCUAUGAUUUAUUUAUUUUUUACUGAUUUUUAACUUAUUGAGUAAUAAAAUUGGUUUUAAAAUUCA
This is a long non-coding RNA of Spodoptera frugiperda (fall armyworm), 2000 nucleotides long. RefSeq lists it as uncharacterized. The record is from RefSeq and is a predicted model, not a curated record. The transcript is spliced from 2 exons. Lineage: Eukaryota; Metazoa; Arthropoda; Insecta; Lepidoptera; Noctuidae.